Molecule: ribosomal RNA, 468 nt
Filed under: uncultured bacterium
Lineage: Bacteria
Description: partial 16S ribosomal RNA
Rfam family: Bacterial small subunit ribosomal RNA
Source: RNAcentral
GACGAACGCUGGCGGCGUGCUUAACACAUGCAAGUCGAACGGAAAGGCCCUGCUUUUGUGGGGUGCUCGAGUGGCGAACGGGUGAGUAACACGUGAGUAACCUGCCCUUGACUUUGGGAUAACUUCAGGAAACUGGGGCUAAUACCGGAUAGGAGCUCCUGCUGCAUGGUGGGGGUUGGAAAGUUUCGGCGGUUGGGGAUGGACUCGCGGCUUAUCAGCUUGUUGGUGGGGUAGUGGCUUACCAAGGCUUUGACGGGUAGCCGGCCUGAGAGGGUGACCGGCCACAUUGGGACUGAGAGACGGCCCAGACUCCUACGGGAGGCAGCAGUGGGGAAUAUUGCACAAGGGGCGGAAGCCUGAUGCAGCAACGCCGCGUGCGGGAUAACGGCCUUCGGGUUGUAAACCGCUUUCGCCUGUGACGAAGCGUGAGUGACGGUAAUGGGUAAAGAAGCACCGGCUAACUACGUG